Molecule: ribosomal RNA, 253 nt
Filed under: uncultured bacterium
Lineage: Bacteria
Description: partial 16S ribosomal RNA
Rfam family: Bacterial small subunit ribosomal RNA
Source: RNAcentral
UACGUAGGGUGCAAGCGUUAAUCGGAAUUACUGGGCGUAAAGCGUGCGCAGGCGGUUCGCUAAGACAGAUGUGAAAUCCCCGGGCUUAACCUGGGAAUGGCAUUUGGGACUGCAAGGCUGGAGUUUGGCAGAGGAGACUGGAAUUCCUGGUGUAGCAGUGAAAUGCGUAGAUAUCAGGAGGAAUACCGAUGGCGAAGGCGGCAUCCUGGACCGGUAUUGACGCUGAGGCGCGAAAGCCAGGGGAGCAAACGGG